Molecule: ribosomal RNA, 253 nt
Filed under: uncultured Eubacteriales bacterium
Lineage: Bacteria; Bacillati; Bacillota; Clostridia; Eubacteriales
Description: uncultured Clostridiales bacterium partial 16S ribosomal RNA
Rfam family: Bacterial small subunit ribosomal RNA
Source: RNAcentral
UACGUAGGGGGCAAGCGUUAUCCGGAUUUACUGGGUGUAAAGGGAGCGUAGACGGCGCUGCAAGUCCGGAGUGAAAGCCCAUGGCUUAACCAUGGUACUGCUCUGGAAACUGGCGGGCUAGAGAGCAGGAGAGGGCGGUGGAACUCCAUGUGUAGCGGUAAAAUGCGUAGAUAUAUGGAAGAACACCAGUGGCGAAGGCGGCUUACUGGACGAUGACUGACGCUGAGGCUCGAAAGCGUGGGGGGCAAACAGG